This 410-nucleotide ribosomal RNA is filed under the name uncultured bacterium. Its description in RNAcentral is "bacterial SSU rRNA". It matches the Rfam family "Bacterial small subunit ribosomal RNA", at positions 28 to 401 of the family's 1533-position model. The record is from RNAcentral.
GACGAACGCUGGCGGCGUGCCUAAUACAUGCAAGUCGAACGCACUCUCGUUUAGAUUGAAGGAGCUUGCUCCUGAUUGAUAAACAUUUGAGUGAGUGGCGGACGGGUGAGUAACACGUGGGUAACCUGCCCUAAAGUGGGGGAUAACAUUUGGAAACAGAUGCUAAUACCGCAUAAAACCUAACACCGCAUGGUGUAGGGUUGAAAGAUGGUUUCGGCUAUCACUUUAGGAUGGACCCGCGGUGCAUUAGUUAGUUGGUGAGGUAAAGGCUCACCAAGACCGUGAUGCAUAGCCGACCUGAGAGGGUAAUCGGCCAACACUGGGGUCUGAGACACGGCCCAGACUCCUACGGGAGGCAGCAGUAGGGAAUCUUCCGACAAUGGACGAAAGUCUGAUGGAGCAACGCCGCG